AUUGAACGCUGGCGGCAGGCCUAACACAUGCAAGUCGAACGAGUGGCGGACGGGUGAGUAAUGUCUGGGAAACUGCCAGAUGGAGGGGGAUAACUACUGGAAACGGUAGCUAAUACCGCAUACCAUCGGAUGUGCCCAGAUGGGAUUAGCUAGUAGGUGGGGUAACGGCUCACCUAGGCGACGAUCCCUAGCUGGUCUGAGAGGAUGACCAGCCACACUGGAACUGAGACACGGUCCAGACUCCUACGGGAGGCAGCAGUAGGGAAUAUUGCGCAAUGGGCGCAAGCCUGAUGCAGCCAUGCCGCGUGUAUGAAGAAGGCCUUCGGGUUGUAAAGUCCUUUCAGCGGGGAGGCGUUACCCGCAGAAGAAGCCCCGGCUAACUCCGUGCCAGCCGCCGCGGUAAUAC
This 406-nucleotide ribosomal RNA is filed under the name uncultured bacterium. RNAcentral's name for it is "partial 16S ribosomal RNA". It matches the Rfam family "Bacterial small subunit ribosomal RNA", at positions 30 to 526 of the family's 1533-position model. The record is from RNAcentral.